GACGAACGCUGGCGGCGUGCUUAACACAUGCAAGUCGAACGGAAAGGCCCUGCUUUUGUGGGGUGCUCGAGUGGCGAACGGGUGAGUAACACGUGAGUAACCUGCCCUUGACUUUGGGAUAACUUCAGGAAACUGGGGCUAAUACCGGAUAGGAGCUCCUGCUGCAUGGUGGGGGUUGGAAAGUUUCGGCGGUUGGGGAUGGACCCGCGGCUUAUCAGCUUGUUGGUGGGGUAGUGGCUUACCAAGGCUUUGACGGGUAGCCGGCCUGAGAGGGUGACCGGCCACAUUGGGACUGAGAUACGGCCCAGACUCCUACGGGAGGCAGCAGUGGGGAAUAUUGCACGAUGGGCGGAAGCCUGAUGCAGCAACGCCGCGUGCGGGAUGACGGUCUUCGGGUUGUAAACCGCUUUCGCCUGUGACGAAGCGUGAGUGACGGUAAUGGGUAAAGAAGCACCGGCUAACUACGUG
This 468-nucleotide ribosomal RNA is filed under the name uncultured bacterium. RNAcentral's name for it is "partial 16S ribosomal RNA". It matches the Rfam family "Bacterial small subunit ribosomal RNA", at positions 28 to 507 of the family's 1533-position model. The record is from RNAcentral.